This 411-nucleotide ribosomal RNA is filed under the name Triticum aestivum (bread wheat). RNAcentral describes it as "partial small subunit ribosomal RNA". Lineage: Eukaryota; Viridiplantae; Streptophyta; Magnoliopsida; Poales; Poaceae. The record is from RNAcentral.
GAAUGGGAUCAAGGGAAUUGCCCACUGCACAAGAUGACCAAACUCCGGACACUGGGUCUGCAAGGAUUCAAGGAAUCUAAACAUGGGGGCGCACUUGAGAGUGCUCUCAGGAAGAUGAGUCGCCUUCACCACUUGGACUUGAUAGGCAAUGAGAUCCCUUCAUGUGUCUUCACGGCACAGAGCCUUCGAUACCUUGAGAUGGUAGGGCUCCGUGGCACAAUCAAAUGGCCCGAGGUUGCAUCGGAUGUUCGCAAGGUCCGGCCGAACCUCGCUCGGCUCGCUCUGCCUUGUCAUAUUAUUACAAGCUUUUGUUCACAGUUCAAUCAAAUGCUUUGGCGCCUUACAAACAAGAGAAAGAGAUGCGGCAACAGCUGCCACUCAUGUCUCCAAAUAUCUUUAUUGUGUACAUAA